AUUGAACGCUGGCGGCAGGCCUAACACAUGCAAGUCGGACGGUAGCACAGAGGAGCUUGCUCCUCGGGUGACGAGUGGCGGACGGGUGAGUAAUGUCUGGGGAUCUGCCCGAUAGAGGGGGAUAACCACUGGAAACGGUGGCUAAUACCGCAUAACGCCGCAAGACCAAAGAGGGGGACCUUCGGGCCUCUCACUAUCGGAUGAACCCAGAUGGGAUUAGCUAGUAGGCGGGGUAACGGCCCACCUAGGCGACGAUCCCUAGCUGGUCUGAGAGGAUGACCAGCCACACUGGAACUGGGACACGGUCCAGACUCCUACGGGAGGCAGCAGUGGGGAAUAUUGCACAAUGGGCGCAAGCCUGAUGCAGUCAUGCCGCGUGUAUGAAGAAGGCCUUCGGGUUGUAAAGUACUUUCAGCGGGGAGGGAGGCGGUGAAGUUAGUAGCUUCACCGAUUGACGUUACCCGCAGAAGAAGCACCGGCUAACUCCGUGCCAGCCGCCGCGGUAA
RNAcentral lists this ribosomal RNA (506 nucleotides) under uncultured bacterium. RNAcentral's name for it is "partial 16S ribosomal RNA". It matches the Rfam family "Bacterial small subunit ribosomal RNA", at positions 29 to 523 of the family's 1533-position model. The record is from RNAcentral.